AGUUUUGNNNNNGCUCAGGACGAACGCUGGCGGCGUGCCUAAUACAUGCAAGUCGAACGAACUCUGGUAUUGAUUGGUGCUUGCAUCAUGAUUUACAUUUGAGUGAGUGGCGAACUGGUGAGUAACACGUGGGAAACCUGCCCAGAAGCGGGGGAUAACACCUGGAAACAGAUGCUAAUACCGCAUAACAACUUGGACCGCAUGGUCCGAGUUUGAAAGAUGGCUUCGGCUAUCACUUUUGGAUGGUCCCGCGGCGUAUUAGCUAGAUGGUGGGGUAACGGCUCACCAUGGCAAUGAUACGUAGCCGACCUGAGAGGGUAAUCGGCCACAUUGGGACUGAGACACGGCCCAAACUCCUACGGGAGGCAGCAGUAGGGAAUCUUCCACAAUGGACGAAAGUCUGAUGGAGCAACGCCGCGUGAGUGAAGAAGGGUUUCGGCUCGUAAAACUCUGUUGUUAAAGAAGAACAUAUCUGAGAGUAACUGUUCAGGUAUUGACGGUAUUUAACCAGAAAGCCACGGCUAACUACGUGCCAGCAGCCGCGGUAAUACGUAGGUGGCAAGCGUUGUCCGGAUUUAUUGGGCGUAAAGCGAGCGCAGGCGGUUUUUUAAGUCUGAUGUGAAAGCCUUCGGCUCAACCGAAGAAGUGCAUCGGAAACUGGGAAACUUGAGUGCAGAAGAGGACAGUGGAACUCCAUGUGUAGCGGUGAAAUGCGUAGAUAUAUGGAAGAACACCAGUGGCGAAGGCGGCUGUCUGGUCUGUAACNGACGCUGANNCUCG
Molecule: ribosomal RNA, 780 nt
Filed under: Lactiplantibacillus plantarum
Lineage: Bacteria; Bacillati; Bacillota; Bacilli; Lactobacillales; Lactobacillaceae
Description: bacterial SSU rRNA
Rfam family: Bacterial small subunit ribosomal RNA
Source: RNAcentral